Molecule: non-coding RNA, 312 nt
Organism: Haladaptatus litoreus
Lineage: Archaea; Methanobacteriati; Methanobacteriota; Halobacteria; Halobacteriales; Haladaptataceae
Rfam family: Archaeal signal recognition particle RNA
Source: Rfam
AAGUGGACUAGGUUGAGCAGUUAGGCCCUGCUCCUUGCCCGCGCUGUGGUCUUGAGCGGGAACCGAACUCCGGACUCGUCCGGUCAGACCGGGUCGGGCCCCGGAAGCCAACGCAGAAGCCUCGUCCUGCGGGGCCAGCGGUCUGCGUCGAACACUCGCAGGGGUGUCUCGUCGCAGUUAGUCGGUGGCAAUCCGUCAGGCACGGAAGUGAGCAGCGGACCAUCGGACAUCUGUCGCUCGUAGGAUCGCGGGGUGGAGGAGGCAACCGGGACUCCCCGGCCCGGAACGCCGGGCAACUCCGGCCGUCCGCAU